Molecule: ribosomal RNA, 269 nt
Filed under: uncultured prokaryote
Description: partial 16S ribosomal RNA
Rfam family: Archaeal small subunit ribosomal RNA
Source: RNAcentral
UACCAGCUCCCCGAGUGGUGGGGACUAUUAUUUGGCCUAAAGCGUCCGUAGCCGGUUCGGCAAGUCUUUCGUUAAAUCCAACGAUCUAAUCGUUGGGCUGCGGGAGAUACUGCAGGACUAGGGGGCGGAAGAAGCCGACGGUACUCCUGGAGUAGGGGUAAAAUCCUGUAAUCCCAGGAGGACCACCAGUGGCGAAGGCGGUCGGCUAGAACGCGCUCGACGGUGAGGGACGAAAGCUGGGGGAGCGAUCCGGAUUAGAUACCCCCGUA